Vicia faba (fava bean) is the source of this 264-nucleotide non-coding RNA. NCBI's taxonomy places the organism in Eukaryota, Viridiplantae, Streptophyta, Magnoliopsida, Fabales, Fabaceae. The record is from the annotation of a GenBank genome assembly.
AUGGAGCAUCAGAGCAUAUCAAAAGUUGGAAUUGUCACAUCUCUUCAGGCAUGUUGUUAUGUCAUUGCUGCUGCAAAUCCAGUUGGAGGAAGAUAUGAUUCCUCAAACAGAAGAUCUAAACAUCUAAUGGUGAUGUUCUUUCUAAUGAGUAGGUCAUACCUUAUCUCAGAAGAAAUGUGGCCAACGAAUAAUAGUAGGCCAGCAGGAAAAAAUUGCCACAAAAUUCUGAAGUUUAUGAAUACGAAUCAUAAUACAUUUGUUUAA